Molecule: Y RNA, 102 nt
Filed under: Microcebus murinus (gray mouse lemur)
Lineage: Eukaryota; Metazoa; Chordata; Mammalia; Primates; Cheirogaleidae
Description: Y RNA (ENSMICG00000047805.1)
Rfam family: Y RNA
About the family: Y RNAs are components of the Ro ribonucleoprotein particle (Ro RNP), in association with Ro60 and La proteins. The Y RNAs and Ro60 and La proteins are well conserved, but the function of the Ro RNP is not known.
Source: Rfam by way of RNAcentral
GGCUGGUAAAAGUGCAAUGGUGUUUACAACUAAUUGAUCAUAACCAGUUACGGAUUCCUUUGUUUCUCCUCCACUCCCAGUGCUUCACUAGACCAGCCUUUA